GGGAAUAUUGCACAAUGGGGGAAACCCUGAUGCAGCGACGCCGCGUGAAGGAAGAAGUAUCUCGGUAUGUAAACUUCUAUCAGCAGGGAAGAGAUUGACGGUACCUGACUAAGAAGCCCCGGCUAACUACGUGCCAGCAGCCGCGGUAAUACGUAGGGGGCAAGCGUUAUCCGGAUUUACUGGGUGUAAAGGGAGCGUAGACGGAUGGACAAGUCUGAUGUGAAAGGCUGGGGCUCAACCCCGGGACUGCAUUGGAAACUGCCCGUCUUGAGUGCCGGAGAGGUAAGCGGAAUUCCUAGUGUAGCGGUGAAAUGCGUAGAUAUUAGGAGGAACACCAGUGGCGAAGGCGGCUUACUGGACGGUAACUGACGUUGAGGCUCGAAAGCGUGGGGAGCAAACAGGAUUAGAUACCCUGGUAGUCCACGCGGUAAACGAUGAAUGUUAGGUGUCGGGUGAC
RNAcentral lists this ribosomal RNA (457 nucleotides) under uncultured bacterium. RNAcentral describes it as "bacterial SSU rRNA". It matches the Rfam family "Bacterial small subunit ribosomal RNA", at positions 357 to 831 of the family's 1533-position model. The record is from RNAcentral.